UACGUAGGGUGCGAGCGUUAAUCGGAAUUACUGGGCGUAAAGUGUGCGCAGGCGGCGCCGCAAGUCGAGUGUGAAAGCCCCGAGCUUAACUUGGGAAUUGCGCUCGAAACUAUGGUGCUGGAGUGUGGCAGAGGAAGGUGGAAUUCCACGUGUAGCGGUGAAAUGCGUAGAGAUGUGGAGGAACACCGAUGGCGAAGGCAGCCUUCUGGGCCAACACUGACGCUCAUGCACGAAAGCGUGGGGAGCAAACAGG
RNAcentral lists this ribosomal RNA (253 nucleotides) under uncultured bacterium. RNAcentral's name for it is "partial 16S ribosomal RNA". It matches the Rfam family "Bacterial small subunit ribosomal RNA", at positions 524 to 776 of the family's 1533-position model. The record is from RNAcentral.